ACUGAAUAGAUACCCAGGUAGUCCACGCCGUAAACGAUGGGCACUAGGUCCUUGGGGGAGCGACCCCGUGAGGGCCGGCGCUAAACGCAUUAAGUGCCCCGCCUGGGGAGUACGGCCGCAAGGCUGAAACUCAAAGGAAUUGACGGGGGCCCGCACAAGCGGUGGAGCAUGGGGUUUAAUUCGACGCAACGCGAAGAACCUUACCUAGGCUUGACAUGGCCGGGAAAGCCGGGGGAAACCCUGGCCCCUCUUCGGAGCCCGGUCACAGGUGCUGCAUGGCUGUCGUCAGCUCGUGUCGUGAGAUGUUGGGUUAAGUCCCGCAACGAGCGCAACCCUUGUCACUAGUUACCAGCGGGUCAUGCCGGGCACUCUAGUGAGACUGCCGGUGCCAAACCGGAGGAAGUGGGGACACGUCAAGUCAUCAUGGUCCCUACGUCUAGGGCUACACACGUGCUACAAUGGCGGACAGCGGGUUGCGAAGCCGCAAGUGAGCCAAUCCCCAAACCGCCUCAGUUCGGAUUGUCGUCUGCAACUCGACGGCAUGAAG
Molecule: ribosomal RNA, 547 nt
Filed under: uncultured bacterium
Lineage: Bacteria
Description: bacterial SSU rRNA
Rfam family: Bacterial small subunit ribosomal RNA
Source: RNAcentral